Molecule: ribosomal RNA, 743 nt
Filed under: uncultured Capnocytophaga sp.
Lineage: Bacteria; Pseudomonadati; Bacteroidota; Flavobacteriia; Flavobacteriales; Flavobacteriaceae
Description: bacterial SSU rRNA
Rfam family: Bacterial small subunit ribosomal RNA
Source: RNAcentral
GAUGAACGCUAGCGGCAGGCCUAACACAUGCAAGUCGAGGGAGGAGCUUUCGGGCUUCGACCGGCGUACGGGUGCGUAACGCGUAUACAAUCUGCCUUUCACAUAGGGAUAGCCCGAAGAAAUUUGGAUUAAUACCUAAUGGUAUAUAGGAGUGGCAUCACAUUUAUAUUAAAGCUGAGGCGGUGAAAGAUGAGUAUGCGUUCUAUUAGCUAGUUGGAGAGGUAACGGCUCCCCAAGGCGACGAUAGAUAGGGGUUCUGAGAGGGAUAUCCCCCACACUGGUACUGAGAUACGGACCAGACCCCUACGGGAGGCAGCAGUGAGGAAUAUUGGACAAUGGUCGGAAGACUGAUCCAGCCAUGCCGCGUGCAGGAAGACGGCCUUAUGGGUUGUAAACUGCUUUUGCAGGGGAAGAAUAAGGACUACGCGUAGUUUGAUGACGGUACUCUGCGAAUAAGCAUCGGCUAACUCCGUGCCAGCAGCCGCGGUAAUACGGAGGAUGCGAGCGUUAUCCGGAAUCAUUGGGUUUAAAGGGUCCGUAGGCGGGCUAAUAAGUCAGAGGUGAAAGCGCUCAGCUCAACUGAGCAACUGCCUUUGAAACUGUUAGUCUUGAAUGGUUGUGAAGUAGUUGGAAUGUGUAGUGUAGCGGUGAAAUGCUUAGAUAUUACACAGAACACCGAUAGCGAAGGCAUAUUACUAACAAUUAAUUGACGCUGAUGGACGAAGGCGUGGGGAGCGAACAGG